GUUCCUUCAAAGCUAUCUACUUAAGUCACUGUUACUAAAUGGCCCACUCAGAGAAUUUCGGCAAGAGGAGAGGGAGAAGAAUAGACGGUAGAAUAUUUUUUUGGAAAAGAGAGUCAAAAUUUGGUUAUGGGAAAAAAUAAAAUAAAAUCUCGAUAACCCUCAAAAUCCCUUAAUCUUCUCCUCUAAUUUCCACUACACAUCCACUACUCAAAAUCCCCAUAUUACACAACUCUAUCCCGGAAUCUGAGCAAAAAAAAUAAUACCCUUGCCUGCAUAGGGAUUUGAACACAAGACCUCCACCAUAAUAACACACCCUUUAACCACCA
RNAcentral lists this long non-coding RNA (326 nucleotides) under Gossypium raimondii (Peruvian cotton). RNAcentral describes it as "long non-coding RNA (GRAI_LNC007769)". The record is from RNAcentral. Lineage: Eukaryota; Viridiplantae; Streptophyta; Magnoliopsida; Malvales; Malvaceae.